Molecule: long non-coding RNA, 500 nt
Filed under: Coturnix japonica (Japanese quail)
Lineage: Eukaryota; Metazoa; Chordata; Aves; Galliformes; Phasianidae
Description: lncRNA (ENSCJPG00005013852.1)
Source: RNAcentral
AUGAAGUCCUGGAACUACAGGCUUUUCUGCUUCAGUGCACUUGGGAGUGGUGAAUGGAAAACACUUGAAAUAAAUCUGCUGCAAGCAGCGAGGGCCUUUGUGGUACAUGGAAUGAAAAGAAGUGCUGUGUCUGAACUGCUGUGCACAGGAGAAAAUAAGGAAAUAUUCCAGCACUGGUUCGCCAGGAGGCCAGAUGCUCUUCAGCAUAAGAAUAAAGCCCUCCUAGCUGUUGUAAGGAAAGAAACUCCUGCUAAGAUGGAAGGAGAAACUAAAGUCUCUCUUCUACCCUGCAAGCCCGUGUCUCAGCUGUGGAGAAACUAGUUCAGUGGCUGAAAGAAAGAGUAAGUCUCCUUUUUCACCUGUACAAACCAGUAUCUCAGCUAUUAGAAGUAAGCAUUCUUCUGCUUGAGAGACAGGAUGUAGUGAGUAUGCACCAAGUGUCAUCUUGUGGUUUUACCUGUGACCACAGAGGAUGUGAAGAGCUGGGAUGGAAAAUCCAC